AUGAACGCUGGCGGCGUGCCUAAUACAUGCAAGUCGAGCGAACAGACGAGGAGCUUGCUCCUCUGACGUUAGCGGCGGACGGGUGAGUAACACGUGGAUAACCUACCUAUAAGACUGGGAUAACUUCGGGAAACCGGAGCUGAUACCGGAUAAUAUAUUGAACCGCAUGGUUCAAUAGUGAAAGACGGUUUUGCUGUCACUUAUAGAUGGAUCCGCGCCGCAUUAGCUAGUUGGUAAGGUAACGGCUUACCAAGGCAACGAUGCGUAGCCGACCUGAGAGGGUGAUCGGCCACACUGGAACUGAGACACGGUCCAGACUCCUACGGGAGGCAGCAGUAGGGAAUCUUCCGCAAUGGGCGAAAGCCUGACGGAGCAACGCCGCGUGAGUGAUGAAGGUCUUCGGAUCGUAAAACUCUGUUAUUAGGGAAGAACAAAUGUGUAAGUAACUAUGCACGUCUUGACGGUACCUAAUCAGAAAGCCACGGCUAACUACGUG
RNAcentral lists this ribosomal RNA (496 nucleotides) under uncultured bacterium. RNAcentral describes it as "partial 16S ribosomal RNA". It matches the Rfam family "Bacterial small subunit ribosomal RNA", at positions 29 to 507 of the family's 1533-position model. The record is from RNAcentral.